UACGGAGGGGGCAAGCGUUGUUCGGAAUUACUGGGCGUAAAGGGCGCGCAGGCGGCUGCUCAAGUCGAGGCGUGAAGGCCUGGGCUCAACCCGGGAAUUGCGCUUGAGACUGGGCUGGCUUGAGUGCGGGAGAGGAUGGUGGAAUUCCCAGUGUAGAGGUGAAAUUCGUAGAUAUUGGGAAAGACACCGGUGGCGAAGGCGGCCAUCUGGACCGCAACUGA
RNAcentral lists this ribosomal RNA (221 nucleotides) under uncultured bacterium. RNAcentral describes it as "partial 16S ribosomal RNA". It matches the Rfam family "Bacterial small subunit ribosomal RNA", at positions 524 to 743 of the family's 1533-position model. The record is from RNAcentral.